RNAcentral lists this ribosomal RNA (469 nucleotides) under uncultured bacterium. RNAcentral describes it as "bacterial SSU rRNA". It matches the Rfam family "Bacterial small subunit ribosomal RNA", at positions 29 to 492 of the family's 1533-position model. The record is from RNAcentral.
AAUGAACGCUGGCGGCGCGCCUAAUACAUGCAAGUCGAGCGAGAAGACGUAGCAAUACGUUUGUAAAGCGGCGAACGGGUGAGGAAUACAUGGGUAACCUACCCUCGAGUGGGGAAUAACUAGCCGAAAGGUUAGCUAAUACCGCGUACGCUCCUUGGACUUCGGUUCAGGGAGGAAAGCGAUACCGUGGGUACCGCGCUCUUGGUUGGGCUCAUGUCCUAUCAGCUUGUUGGUGAGGAACGGCUCACCAAGGCUUCGACGGGUAGCUGGUCUGAGAGGACGAUCAGCCACACUGGCACUGCGACACGGGCCAGACUCCUACGGGAGGCAGCAGUAAGGAAUAUUGCGCAAUGGGCGAAAGCCUGACGCAGCGACGCCGCGUGGGGGAUGAAGGUCUUCGGAUUGUAAACCCCUUUCGGGAGGGAAGAUGGAACGAGCAAUCGUUCGGACGGUACCUCCAGAAGCAGCC